GACAAUCAUAUUGCAGCAGCAGUGCUCCUACCUCUGAACUAAUUUUGGAAGGCCUGCUUAGCGAACAGCCAAGUUUCUUUUUGAAUAGCUGAUUCAACUCAAGUAAUGAGGGUAGCAUCUCAUCCACAAUGCAGCUAUAUGAAGACAAAAUGAUCUUAGCAGCUAAAUUGCAGACAAUUCAACAUUCUCAGCAGGAUCUUUUAUCUUAGAACCCUGAGAUUGCCAUUGAAACAGACCCCACUAGCCAGCAGAAUGAAAAGAGACAUGUCACCUUCAUCAUCAUACCUCAUAGUGAUUGAGGACUUUAAGAUGAGGCAGUUUCCAGCAACCUAUCAGAGAAACGUGAGCAAGCCCAAGCCGUGAUCAGCCAAGCCUGGCCCAGAUCAGCAGAAUCACUCAGCUGCCAGUGACCAAAACUAUGGAAAGCAAAACCAAAGAUGAGGGGGAACUACUGUAAUAUGAAACAUUCAUAUAAGUGAGCUACUUAGAGAAGACCAAAGAGACCUGAAAUCCAAAGUGACAAGAAGUCAGAACAACAAAAGAACAUAUAUCUC
This is a non-coding RNA of Callithrix jacchus (white-tufted-ear marmoset), 554 nucleotides long. The record is from RefSeq and is a predicted model, not a curated record. NCBI's taxonomy places the organism in Eukaryota, Metazoa, Chordata, Mammalia, Primates, Cebidae.